GUGGCUGGACGUUCAGUCGGGAAACCAUCUAGGAAUCUCUGUCAUCCGACAGAGCAACUCCCUCGGGAGUUUAAGUCA
RNAcentral lists this non-coding RNA (78 nucleotides) under Legionella pneumophila str. 121004. Its description in RNAcentral is "RAGATH-32 RNA". It matches the Rfam family "RAGATH-32 RNA". From Rfam's summary of the family: Legionellales (_-Proteobacteria). Nearby to self-cleaving ribozyme genes Lineage: Bacteria; Pseudomonadati; Pseudomonadota; Gammaproteobacteria; Legionellales; Legionellaceae. The record is from RNAcentral.